Molecule: transfer RNA, 71 nt
Filed under: Bos taurus (domestic cattle)
Lineage: Eukaryota; Metazoa; Chordata; Mammalia; Artiodactyla; Bovidae
Also listed under: 5 other names
Rfam family: tRNA
About the family: Transfer RNA (tRNA) molecules are approximately 80 nucleotides in length. Their secondary structure includes four short double-helical elements and three loops (D, anti-codon, and T loops).
Source: Rfam by way of RNAcentral
UCCCUGGUGACUCAGUGGUAAAGAAUCUGCCUGCCAAUGCAGGAGACUUGGGUUUAAUCCCAGUCAGGGAG